CCUACGGGAGGCAGCAGUGGGGAAUAUUGGACAAUGGGCGAAAGCCUGAUCCAGCAAUGCCGCGUGAGUGAUGAAGGCCUUCGGGUCGUAAAGCUCUUUUACCAGGGAUGAUAAUGACAGUACCUGGAGAAUAAGCUCCGGCUAACUCCGUGCCAGCAGCCGCGGUAAUACGGAGGGAGCUAGCGUUGUUCGGAAUUACUGGGCGUAAAGAGUACGUAGGCGGUUAUUCAAGUCAGAGGUGAAAGCCCGGGGCUCAACCCCGGAACUGCCUUUGAAACUAGAUAACUAGAGUCUUGGAGAGGUUAGCGGAAUUCCGAGUGUAGAGGUGAAAUUCGUAGAUAUUCGGAAGAACACCAGUGGCGAAGGCGACUAACUGGACAAGUACUGACGCUGAGGUACGAAAGCGUGGGGAGCAAACAGGAUUAGAUACCCUGGUAGUCCACGCCGUAAACGAUGAUAACUAGUUGUUCGGUCACUUGGUGACUGAGUGACGCAGCUAACGCAUUAAGUUAUCCGCCUGGGGAGUACGGUCGCAAGAUUAAAACUCAAAGGAAUUGACGGCUGAAGAGUGCGAGACGACGACGAGGAGAGG
RNAcentral lists this ribosomal RNA (592 nucleotides) under uncultured bacterium. Its description in RNAcentral is "bacterial SSU rRNA". It matches the Rfam family "Bacterial small subunit ribosomal RNA", at positions 338 to 946 of the family's 1533-position model. The record is from RNAcentral.